ACAUCAUUUACAUUCUAAAAACAUCCGAUCUUUAAAACAUCAAAAUCUUGACAGAAUUAAUUUUUUACAUAAUUUAAAUCUUUUAAACAUAAAAAAUUAAGAAUCGCGUAUAAAAACUGAUGUCCAAACUACAGUGGCGGCUUGUGGCAGGUGGUUUUAACCAAGGUGGAUGGGAAAAACUUCAAUAUAUAUGAAAAA
Rhagoletis zephyria (snowberry fruit fly) is the source of this 198-nucleotide long non-coding RNA. RefSeq lists it as uncharacterized. NCBI's taxonomy places the organism in Eukaryota, Metazoa, Arthropoda, Insecta, Diptera, Tephritidae. The record is from RefSeq and is a predicted model, not a curated record.